This 499-nucleotide long non-coding RNA is filed under the name Mus musculus (house mouse). RNAcentral's name for it is "long non-coding RNA chr3:35861622-35862121". Lineage: Eukaryota; Metazoa; Chordata; Mammalia; Rodentia; Muridae. The record is from RNAcentral.
AUUUAUAUUGACAAAAAUAUAUAUUUUCAGUAUUGCUGUAGACAAACAUCUACAUAAGACUGUUCAAUGAUUGUUGUUUUAUAUCACACAACUUUUAUAAUACUCAUUUUUAUUGUUACAAUAUUUUAUAAAUUUUAAAGAAUAUGAUAAACAAAAUAUAUUGCAGGUUUUGAAGAGGGGCUCUCCAGGAGGAGUUGGGGUACAAAAGGGAAAGAAGAAUGUGAUGUAAGUCUAUUUACUCAAAAUAUGGUUUUAAAUGUUAACAAAUUCAGAUAAAUUGAAAUUAUAUAUCUUUUCUCAUCAUAAUGCAAUAAAACUUAAAUCAAAGGGAAAAAGAAAAAGAAAAGGCCUAAGGAUAGGCAGAUACAGUAUUUUAGUUUACUUCUUUUAUUUUGGAUUGUUUUAAUUUUCAAAAUGAGUGUGAUGUUGAGUUUUGUAGUUAUAUUAUUCCCCUGGGAGAGAGGUCAAAAUAAAGGUUUUUUGUUACUGGUUCAAGUUU